CAGGAAGUAGAACAUGGCUGCCACUUCCUGUGAGUGUCUGUGGAUUAGUGGCAUCAGAGACAGGACUCGCUCGGUGCUCGGCGGAGCCCGUCUGAGACGCUGAAUCAACCAUUGCAUGCAGCUCGGUUGUGCCCGCUGUGGCAGAUCAGCAGCACCAGCUUAUCACAGCCAGACUCUAUCUGCUUCCUAAAUGAAGUGGGUUGAUGAGCGAGUCGCAGAUAAACCUGCAAUCUGCGCAUACAAACAAACUGGCAACUUCAUCCACCGCCUCAGCCAGAUUCAACAGCAAUACAAGAAGAAGAAGAAGAAGAAGAAGCCAGCGUGACAUCAUCCCUCAUUCCCAGCUGAUGCCUCAUGUUUGUGAGGAUUUAGACGAGUGUAAUAAAGGCAAGAGGCUUCAUACGAGUCAAAUCAGCAGUGAUGUUCGGCUGAAGAUGGAAGACGCGCGCUGCUGACCAGACGACUCGAUGAUGGAGAAUCACUGCGUUAAGAUUCCUGAAAUGACUCAAGGAGGUACUGGUCCAAGGACGGGUCCGUUUCCUGACACUGACUGCAGUACAGCAGGAACCAAUGUGAAAGCUGAUAUAAUAUUAAUAAUAAUAAACACGGGCAGAGUUUGAGAAGCAUUUUUAAUCACAGAAAGAUGUUACAUGUCUUAAACGUACCUAAAGUCAAGUGCAACACAUGACACUUUGUUUAAAUACCUGUUAUUGGGUUGAACCUUUGGAGACGUGCGUCUGGAAGUUGCAGCUCAAGCCUCGUACGGCAGC
Molecule: long non-coding RNA, 770 nt
Organism: Betta splendens (Siamese fighting fish)
Lineage: Eukaryota; Metazoa; Chordata; Actinopteri; Anabantiformes; Osphronemidae
Exons: 4
Source: RefSeq, a predicted model, not a curated record